UGCAUAGAUAUUACACAGGUACUCCGAUUGCGAAGGCAGCUUACCAAACCAGCACUGAUGCUGAAGCACGAAAGCGUGGGGAGCGAACAGGAUUAGAUACCCUGGUAGUCCACGCCGUAUACUUUGAUCACUCGCUGUUGGCGAUAGACAGUCAGCGGCCAAGUGCCACCGAUAAGUGAGCCACCUGGGGACUACGGCCGCAAGGUUGAUACUCGAAGGAAUUGACGGGGGCCCGCACAAUCGGUGGAACAUGUGGUUUAAUUCGAUGAUACGCGAGGAACCUUACCUGGGCUUAAAUGUGAACUGCAUUGAUUGGCAACAAUCAUUUCCUUCGGGACCCUUUACAAGGUGCUGCAUGGUCGUCGUCAGCUCGUGCCAUGAGGUGUCGGGUUAAGUCCCAUGACGAGCGCAACCCCUAUUGUUAGUUACCAGCGCGUGAUGGCGGGGACUCUAGCGAUACUGCCGGUGUAAACCGCGAGGAAGGUGGGGAUGACGUCAAAUCAGCACGGCCAUUAUGUCCAGGGCUACACACGUGUUACAAUGCCCGGUACAGCGGGCAGCUAGGCAGCGAUGUCAUGCUAAUCCCGAAAGCCGCUCCCAGUUCGGAUUGGAGUCUGCAACCCGACUCCAUGAAGGUGGAAUCGCUAGUAAUCGCGCAUCAGCCAUGGCGCGGUGAUACGUUCCCGGCCCUGUGUACACACCGCCCGUCAAGCCAUGGAAGUCUGGGGUGCC
This 732-nucleotide ribosomal RNA is filed under the name uncultured organism. Its description in RNAcentral is "bacterial SSU rRNA". It matches the Rfam family "Bacterial small subunit ribosomal RNA", at positions 687 to 1421 of the family's 1533-position model. The record is from RNAcentral.